This 509-nucleotide ribosomal RNA is filed under the name uncultured marine bacterium. RNAcentral's name for it is "bacterial SSU rRNA". It matches the Rfam family "Bacterial small subunit ribosomal RNA", at positions 35 to 526 of the family's 1533-position model. The record is from RNAcentral.
GCUGGCGGCGUGCCUAAUACAUGCAAGUCGAGCGGAUCGAUGGGAGCUUGCUCCCUGAGAUCAGCGGCGGACGGUUGAGUAACACGUGGGUAACCUGCCUGUAAGACUGGGAUAACUCCGGGAAACCGGGNCUAAUACCGGAUAACACCUACCCCCGCAUGGGGGAAGGUUGAAAGGUGGCUUCGGCUAUCACUUACAGAUGGACCCGCGGCGCAUUAGCUAGUUGGUGAGGUAAUGGCUCACCAAGGCGACGAUGCGUAGCCGACCUGAGAGGGUGAUCGGCCACACUGGGACUGAGACACGGCCCAGACUCCUACGGGAGGCAGCAGUAGGGAAUCUUCCGCAAUGGACGAAAGUCUGACGGAGCAACGCCGCGUGAGUGAAGAAGGUUUUCGGAUCGUAAAACUCUGUUGUUAGGGAAGAACAAGUGCCGUUCGAAUAGGGCGGCGCCUUGACGGUACCUAACCAGAAAGCCACGGCUAACUACGUGCCAGCAGCCGCGGUAAUAC